UCCCGUGUGGCUCAGUUGGUAGAGCAUGGUGUUUGCAAUGCCAGAGUUGUGGGUUCGAUUCCCACAGGGGAC
RNAcentral lists this transfer RNA (72 nucleotides) under Salmo salar (Atlantic salmon). It matches the Rfam family "tRNA". Rfam says of the family: Transfer RNA (tRNA) molecules are approximately 80 nucleotides in length. Their secondary structure includes four short double-helical elements and three loops (D, anti-codon, and T loops). Lineage: Eukaryota; Metazoa; Chordata; Actinopteri; Salmoniformes; Salmonidae. The record is from Rfam by way of RNAcentral.